UGCCAGCAGCCGCGGUAAUACGGAGGGUGCGAGCGUUAAUCGGAAUUACUGGGCGUAAAGCGCGUGUAGGCGGCCUGGUAAGUCUGAGGUGAAAUCCAUGGGCCUAACCCGUGAACUGCCUUGGAAACUGCCAAGCUUGAGGAGCAGAGGGGAAAGUGGAAUUUCGGGUGUAGCGGUGAAAUGCUUAGAUAUCCGAGAGAACACCGAUGGCGAAGGCAGCUUUCUGGCUGUUUCCUGACGCUGAGACGCGAAAGCUAGGGUAGCGAACGGGAUUAGAUA
Molecule: ribosomal RNA, 279 nt
Filed under: uncultured bacterium
Lineage: Bacteria
Description: partial 16S ribosomal RNA
Rfam family: Bacterial small subunit ribosomal RNA
Source: RNAcentral